Molecule: ribosomal RNA, 253 nt
Filed under: uncultured bacterium
Lineage: Bacteria
Description: partial 16S ribosomal RNA
Rfam family: Bacterial small subunit ribosomal RNA
Source: RNAcentral
UACGUAGGCAGCGAGCGUUGUUCGGAGUUACUGGGCGUAAAGCGUGCGUAGGCGGUGUCUUAAGUUUGUUGUGAAAUCUCCCGGCUUAACCGGGAGGGUGCGGCGAAUACUGAGAUGCUGGAGUGCGGGAGAGGUAAGCGGGAUUCCCGGUGUAGCGGUGAAAUGCGUAGAUAUCGGGAGGAACACCUGCGGUGUAGACGGCUUACUGGACCGUAACUGACGCUGAGGCACGAAAGCGUGGGUAGCAAACAGG